GGAGAGGUGGCCGAGUGGUCGAAGGCGCUUGAUUCGAAAUCAAGUGUACGGGUAACCGUACCGGGGGUUCGAAUCCCCCCCUCUCCG
Molecule: transfer RNA, 87 nt
Filed under: Deltaproteobacteria bacterium
Lineage: Bacteria; Pseudomonadati; Myxococcota; Myxococcia
Also listed under: 1 other name
Description: tRNA-Ser
Rfam family: tRNA
About the family: Transfer RNA (tRNA) molecules are approximately 80 nucleotides in length. Their secondary structure includes four short double-helical elements and three loops (D, anti-codon, and T loops).
Source: RNAcentral